RNAcentral lists this ribosomal RNA (253 nucleotides) under uncultured bacterium. RNAcentral's name for it is "partial 16S ribosomal RNA". It matches the Rfam family "Bacterial small subunit ribosomal RNA", at positions 524 to 776 of the family's 1533-position model. The record is from RNAcentral.
UACAGAGGGGGCAAGCGUUAUUCGGAAUUAUUGGGCGUAAAGGGCGCGUAGGCGGCUUGGCAAGUGGAUGGUGAAAUCCCUCGGCUUAACCGAGGAACUGCCGUCCAAACUGCUUCGCUUGAGACCGGGAGAGGUGAGUGGAAUUCCCAGUGUAGCGGUGAAAUGCGUAGAUAUUGGGAGGAACACCAGUGGCGAAGGCGAGUCCCUGGACAACACCUGACACUGAGGCACGAAAGCUAGGGGAGCAAACAGG